GGUGGGUGCUCCCCGAGUUUAGAUACUUAAAUAAACCCAAAAUAGUGCUGGUACGAGGAUUAUGUAGAUCUAAACCUCAGUCCCCUUCUGCGCGGUACUGGGAACAGCUCUCCCCGGGGCCUGGAGUAAAGGGAGCCAAAUGUAGCAGACUCCAGGCCGACCCACGGGUCGAGACCCAGUGAGGACUUGGGUAAGUGGUAAACUGAGGCUUCCUUGGCCAGCAAAAGCGGACAACGACAGUGAGGGAAAGCAAAUGGGCGCUCAGAGACAAACUCUGGCCUUGGUUUCCAGGCUCUUGACCACUAGGUCGCCUUCCACGACAGGAAGAUCGGAGGAGGAAAGGGCCCUGCCAACCCUGAUUCAUCCCGGGCAGCCGCAUUACUAUUUCACGGACUCAUCGAAAUCCUGCCAGGGGGUGAGGAGUAACGAAAAAUACUCAUGUGCUGACAGGUUUUUUGUUGUUGCACUAGAAGCAUAUUAGACUGCACAGUGGCUUUUGUAGGUGGCCUGGCCAAAGGAACUAAUUAAGCUGAGUUAAUGUUAACUUAGGGAUUCCCUUGGGCAAAGUACCGGUGAUGGCCAAAGGCCCUUCCCUUACCAUCUUCCAGAAGCAGCCCACUGCCAUGUACUCAGUUCCUACCUUGCAGUCAUUAAUGCUUGUUGUAAAGCCAGAAUAGUUGUUGGGAAGUAUCUUGCCUAUGAAAGUCUUGAUGAUUUUUAAGGAUAGAGCCAUUUGCUACAAUUACAACUGAUUAAUCUUUAGGACAGAUCUAUGCGUCCUGGUAGAAUGAGCUAGAGCUGUUACUGACCUUUAAAAAGUAUUUUGGUCAUCACACGAAGUCUAAGAAAUUCACAACAAUAAAAAUACCCCAUAAUGCAUCCUUAGCCAUGUUGACUUAAUGACAUUGUGUGGUCACUGUUAAGGUAGGUGACAUAAUAAACUGGAAGAACCAUUGUUAAGUCCCAAAGGUAUUUUAUACCUUCACCAUGUUAGGAAAGAACAGUGGAUCAUUAGCUUAAAUCCAUUAAGCAUAUAGGAUGUGAGUGUGGCUUCAGACAGUUCAGAGAACAUAGUCAAAAUUUGGACAUUUUUAGAGAAUCGUGUUUUAUGUAAAAACAUUCAAGAAAAAUAUUGUGGCUUUUCUAGAAGUGCUCCUUUAGACACUACCAAUUAAUGUUAAACUUCAUUUGGAUUAUGUUUGAGAAUGAAAAGCUGAAGAUGUAGUAGCCAAUUUUAAUUAUGUUCAUUACUAAACACACACCAGAUACUAGCAAAAAAAAUGAUAGUUGAUUAGAAUACUUUGUAUUGUUUUCACUGAUAUCUACAUUGUUUGAUGUGGUAGUAAAUGUCAAAUACAUUUAAAUUACUAGUUGUCCAAAUCUGAGGAUUUAUAAAUUUUCUUUUUCAUGCGCUGACAUUAGGAGGAUGUCCUGUCAAAAAUAGAAACACAUGCAGGGUGCAGUGGCAAAUAUGUGUAAUCCCAGCUACACAGGAGGCAAAGGCAGGAGAAUCACAAAUUUGAGGCCAGCCUCAGCAAAUUAGUGAGACCCUUUCUCAAAUUUUACAAAAGGGUUGGGGAUAUAGUUCAUAUGCUAGUGGUAGAGCACCCCUGAUUGAAUCCCU
RNAcentral lists this long non-coding RNA (1624 nucleotides) under Marmota monax (woodchuck). Lineage: Eukaryota; Metazoa; Chordata; Mammalia; Rodentia; Sciuridae. The record is from RNAcentral.